RNAcentral lists this ribosomal RNA (478 nucleotides) under uncultured bacterium. RNAcentral describes it as "partial 16S ribosomal RNA". It matches the Rfam family "Bacterial small subunit ribosomal RNA", at positions 29 to 523 of the family's 1533-position model. The record is from RNAcentral.
AACAAACGCUGGCGGCGUGCCUAAUACAUGCAAGUCGAACGGGGAAAGUAGCAAUAUGAGUACUAGUGGCGCACGGGUGAGGAACACAUGGGUAAUCUGCCUUCAAGUCGGGGAUAACCAGUCGAAAGACUGGCUAAUACCGGAUAAGACCACAGGAUCUGCGGAGCUAGGGGUUAAAGGUUUUUCGCUUGAAGAUGAGCCCAUGCGAGAUUAGCUAGUUGGUGAGGUAAUGGCUCACCAAGGCGACGAUCUCUAACUGGUCUUAGAGGAUGAUCAGUCACACUGGAACUGGGACACGGUCCAGAAUCCUACGGGAGGCAGCAGUAGGGAAUAUUGCGCAAUGGGGGAAACCCUGACGCAGCGACGCCGCGUGAGUGAUGAAGGCCUUCGGGUCGUAAAGCUCUGUCGUAUGGGACUAACACAAUGAAGGUACCAUGCAAGAAAGGAUCGGCUAACUUCGUGCCAGCCGCCGCGGUAA